Molecule: ribosomal RNA, 67 nt
Filed under: Enterococcus gallinarum
Lineage: Bacteria; Bacillati; Bacillota; Bacilli; Lactobacillales; Enterococcaceae
Description: partial 16S ribosomal RNA
Rfam family: Bacterial small subunit ribosomal RNA
Source: RNAcentral
AUUAUGAGAGUUUGAUCCUGGCUCAGGACGAACGCUGGCGGCGUGCCUAAUACAUGCAAGUCGAACG